Caenorhabditis elegans is the source of this 213-nucleotide non-coding RNA. The record is from Ensembl. NCBI's taxonomy places the organism in Eukaryota, Metazoa, Nematoda, Chromadorea, Rhabditida, Rhabditidae.
CAUCAAAUGUGACUUCUUUAUUUCCAAUUGUAUAACCCUUCUUUCCUUCAGAGGAGUACCUUAUUGAAUAUCCUGCAGUGCUUUUAUCUCUAGGAUCUUGUAGAUAAGUUGCAAUUAAGUUAGAAACUUUGAUACAUGGACUUUGACUUCUUGGUGUAGCUUGAAAUUGUUUAGGAGUUUGCGGAGCUAGAAUUUGUAGAGUUCCUUGAAUAC